AAGGGUUCUUGUAGUUGAUACACC
RNAcentral lists this transfer RNA (24 nucleotides) under Polypedates leucomystax (Java whipping frog). RNAcentral's name for it is "partial tRNA-Glu". Lineage: Eukaryota; Metazoa; Chordata; Amphibia; Anura; Rhacophoridae. The record is from RNAcentral.